GAUGAACGCUGGCGGCGUGCCUAAUACAUGCAAGUCGAGCGAACAGACGAGGAGCUUGCUCCUCUUACGUUAGUGGCGGACGGGUGAGUAACACGUGGAUAACCUACCUAUAAGACUGGGAUAACUUCGGGAAACCGGAGCUAAUACCGGAUAAUAUAUUGAACCGCAUGGUUCAAUAGUGAAAGACGGUUUUGCUGUCACUUAUAGAUGUAUCCGCGCCGCAUUAGCUAGUUGGUAAGGUAACGGCUUACCAAGGCAACGAUGCGUAGCCGACCUGAGAGGGUGAUCGGCCACACUGGAACUGAGACACGGUCCAGACUCCUACGGGAGGCAGCAGUAGGGAAUAUUCCGCAAUGGGCGAAAGCCUGACGGAGCAACGCCGCGUGAGUGAUGAAGGUCUUCGGAUCGUAAAACUCUGUUAUUAGGGAAGAACAAAUGUGUAAGUAACUAUGCACGUCUUGACGGUACCUAAUCAGAAAGCCACGGCUAACUACGUG
This 497-nucleotide ribosomal RNA is filed under the name uncultured bacterium. Its description in RNAcentral is "partial 16S ribosomal RNA". It matches the Rfam family "Bacterial small subunit ribosomal RNA", at positions 28 to 507 of the family's 1533-position model. The record is from RNAcentral.